GCAGCACGUUAUUCACACGUUGGCCAGUAGAGGUCGCAUGCACCUAGUCAUUCCAGACAUUCCUUCACUGAACGUCAAAGAGUGAAGGCACGAGUCAUAUCGUUGUGUUGCAAAGACAAGGUUUAUACGUUAAAAUACUUGUCACUUCUCAAAACGAGUGUUGGAAAAGCAGCAUAAGAUAGCCUGGUUCCAGUGGGAGCCGGGUUGCUGUGUUUUGUGCUGCUGAGAACUCCAUGGAGCUCGAGAUCCUGUUUACUGUGGACUAGCUGUGUGUGACGCCAUGUUGUUUUUGUUUCCAUUACAAAAAAAAAGCUCCACCGUCUCGCUGAGUGCCAGCAAGAGUCAUGAGUACUUGUCAACUCGACUCCUCAACUGGAGAUAACUUUCUAGCACCUCACCAUGGGGAAGGAUGUAUUCAUAUGCCUUCACCAGCACCUGCAUUAAACAUGCAGAGAGUUACACAAGUUCUUACCACCUUGGGGCACCAUUCAGGUAAAAUCUCAGCUCAUCUUACUUGCUUAUUUGUAUACACUAACACCUGUGCAUGCUUUUGUCCACGUUGUUCCUUUGACGAUGAAUAAAUACCCCUUUUCUUUCUUUCUACAUUAAGGGUGCCUUUUCAUCUGAUUAAAUUUAUAAUGAACAGGGACAUUGCGGUUGUCCCAAGUGGAUGGUAUGAUGAUAGGAUGGUUUUCUGGCCCAGCUAUAAAAACACCGACAGAAUUGAAAGGGCAGCUUUAAAUGAGGAGCAGCAUGAGCCAAACUGGCCAAGAUUUGACGUUUCUGUUGUCCGAACUUGUGACAACUACAAAGACGCAUUAAAAAUAAUGCAACAAUAUGGAAAGGGCUGCGACACCUCAGACCUGCAAUCUGAGGCAGAGAACGAGGAGCUGCCAGAAAAAAGGAACAGGAAGCCAGUCCAUCGUCUCGGGGACUCAGAUGAUAGCGAAGAAGACCCGGGAAAUAGUGACCUCACAUCUCUGGGGUUGGCAAGCCAAUUGCACAGGCAGACUCCACCAUCUCGCCGAGUGCCAGCAAGAGUCAUGAGUACUUGUUAACUCGACUCCUCAACUGUAGAUAACUUUCUAGCACCUCACCAUGGGGAAGGACGCAUUCAUAUGCCUUCACCAGCACCUGCAUUAAACAUGCAGAGAGUUACACAAGGAACGGCAGUCCCUCCUCGACUCCCUCCACCCCCCUCACCAGCAGCCCUCAACAUGUGGCAGACAGAGGAGCCUGGAUCCAGCCUGGCCUACAGGCCAACAUGGCGAGGGGGAAGAAUGGCCGACAACAUUUCCUGCUCUGCGCCUGAGGUAAUCCACAUCCUUAGCCUGCUGGAAACUAUUAAGCACAACCAAGACCAGCUGAUUGCGAAGGUGCUGUGAGUAAAAAUGUGUUGACAAGGUCAGCCACGGACGCUGAGGUCACCAAACACGCCAUCAGGUGGUUCAACUUGGCGGGGGAUCGGGCAACGAGGAGACGAGUCCCGCUUCCACCUCCUCAGGAGGAAUAGAGAUGUAUAUGUAUAAAUAAACAACCUUUUAUUGGACUUCUUGUCAUUCACCAGUUAUUCAUUUUCUGAUAUGUUAGCUGUGCAUGGAGCAGCGUUUCCUUGAAGUUGUAGCCUAAUAGAUUAAAUAUGUAUAUUUACUUUUUAAAUAUAUAUUAUAUAUAUUUACUUUAUAGAGUGAAUUGACCAUUUUCUGUUUCUGCCUAUUGACAAUAUUGUUAGUUUAAAAAUACAAGGCAAUGCAUAUGUAAGCCUAUAUUGCUGUAGUAGGGCUUAGUGAAUUUUUUAGUUUCCUAUUUUAUCCUACAGCAAGAACAGAAGGGAUUUUGAAAAUAAGAUAAAGGGGUCCAAAACGGCCAGAUGAGCCAGGGUUUUUAUGAGUCCGUUG
This is a long non-coding RNA of Entelurus aequoreus (snake pipefish), 1898 nucleotides long. RefSeq lists it as uncharacterized. The record is from RefSeq and is a predicted model, not a curated record. NCBI's taxonomy places the organism in Eukaryota, Metazoa, Chordata, Actinopteri, Syngnathiformes, Syngnathidae. The transcript is spliced from 12 exons.